UGGUACAAUAGUGAAUUGGCACUAAUGCACCGGAUCCCAUCAGAACUCCGUAGUUAAGCGUGCUUGGGCGAGAGUAGUACUAGGAUGGGUGACCUCCCGGGAAGUCCUCGUGUUGCACCCC
This 121-nucleotide ribosomal RNA is filed under the name Brassica napus (rape). Lineage: Eukaryota; Viridiplantae; Streptophyta; Magnoliopsida; Brassicales; Brassicaceae. The record is from RNAcentral.